This is an RNA transcript of Pan troglodytes (chimpanzee), 3717 nucleotides long. It is a transcript of the gene named prokineticin receptor 1, with no coding region annotated. NCBI's taxonomy places the organism in Eukaryota, Metazoa, Chordata, Mammalia, Primates, Hominidae. The transcript is spliced from 6 exons. The record is from RefSeq and is a predicted model, not a curated record.
AGUUUCUUACAACUAAUCGCUCAGUGUCACCAGCACACCUCACUGAGGGGGAAACUGUCCACCAGCACGCUGCAUCCAGCCCUGCUCUGUGAGACCACCUCAUUCCCAUUCAGUCUCUUUGUUGGCCAGGAGUCCAUAAUGCAAAUAAUUUCCCGCAUCUUCACUCUUCAUCUUCUCACCCUCUUCUGGACAACUCCUGACAUUCUGUGAUAUUCAGCAUUCACCAUAAACAUUGCAUGAUUCAGUUCUCCUUGAUAUCUUGGUGCUUGGACUCUUCACUGUUGGCAUCAUUAGGUCAGCAGGUGAACACUCAGGAUUGUUCCUCUUCUGUUAGUAGAGCACCAAAAGACAGGGUCUGGCUCUGUCACCUAAGCCAGAGUGCAAUGGUACAAUCACCAUUGACUGCAGUCUCAAAUUCCUGGGCUCAAGCAAUCCUCCCGCCUCAGCUUCCCAAGCAGCUGGGACUACAGGCAUGCACCACCAUGUCCAGCAUACCAAGGAGACAGAGAAUGCUGUGAACUUCAGUUUAUAUGUAACAGUCAAUGAAUACAUGAGGCCACCAGACUCAGCUUCUGAGCCCAAGUCAGACCUGAUACUCAAUGGAGGUGACGUGGAAAAGAGAGUGCAGCCAGGUCCCACCGAGGGGCAGAUCACAGGGAAUGGUGUCUGGACCCAGAGAAUAACUGAAUCUUCAAGGAAGGAAGAGAAAUCUUUAGAAGAACAUGGAUUUUCCCCACUGGUAGUUAGUUGUCUCUUCCAUAUCCAGAAAUAACUUGAACACGUCAGACGGGGCCACUCUGCGUAGUGUCCUCCCAGGAAAACGCCAAGAUUCUCCAAGACACUUUCGUAUCCUAAGCCCUGUUCUGUUUGUUCUUGUGUAGUAAAUUGGCAAAUUUGGCAGUACAGAAGACAUCUCUAACCUGAUGUCACAAAGAAUCAUGUCUGGCCCAUACAGAGUAUUCUAACUAACCAUGUAAGCCACUAGAAUGUUAAACUAAUGCUCUGGCACUGAGGUGGGUAUCUUGAGCAUUUGUGACUUUACAGUUUAUUAUCUGUAUUGGUUAAAAUAUAUAUGAACAUAUGCUAAUAUCACAUUAAUGAAUUCUGUAAAAGGUUAUUUUAAGACACUCUGUAUUUAGAAAAAUACCUAUACCAAAACUGCUAAUAGUGGAAUUAGUAAUAAAGGUAAGUGUGAGAAAUUUUGUUUUUUAUAUUUCAUAUGGUUUGAAAUUGUUAUUACAAUACAUAUGACUUUUGUGACUACAGACAAAACUUGAAGACAUUGUGUGUGUGUGUGUGUGUGAAGCCAUUCUUGCAUUACUCUAAAUAAAUACCUGAGACUGGGUAAUAAGAAAAGAUGUUUAAUUGGCUCACAGUUCUGCAGGCUCUAUAGGGAACAGAGUGGCAUGUGCUCCUAGGGGGGCCUCAGGAGCUUCCAAUCAUGGCAGAAGGCAAAGGGGGAGCACUCUGGCACAUCACAUGGCAAAAGCAGCAGUAAGAGGGAGCGGGGAGAUGCCACACAACUUUAAAGCACCAAAUCUCACAAGAACAGCACCAAGAGGAUGGUGCUAAACCAUUCGUGAGAAAUUCACCCCUAUGAUUCAAUUUCCUCCCACUAGGCCCCAUUUCCAACAUGGGGGAUUACAAUUUGACAUGAGAUUUAGAGAGGACACCUAUCCAAAUUAUAUCACAUUGAAAAUAUAUACAUCAUGUACUAUGCCGAGUUAAACAUUACUCUCACACACACACACACACAUCCUUGUUCAUGAAGAUAGUAUUUGAUGCUGUGACAAAGAGAAAGAGAAAGAGAGAAAGCAGGCACAGGUGAGCAGGUGCUCUUGACACACCUGAGCUUGGAUAAGAUGACAGCAUCGACAAGGAAAAAGCUGAUGAAAAGGCCAGGGAGUUGAGGGCAAGGUGCUUCCAUACAAAGUGGUGUUUUUGUCUUAGCAAUUUCAACUCUUUAUUCAAACCCUUCUUACUAAGUGGUGGCUUCCAUUCUACUUUACAUACUUUACAGAAAGUCUUAGUCCUUUUUGUCUCAAUAUUCCCAGUCCUCUCGUUUUCACAGUGCUCUGUAAUUACUGGUUAAUAAACAUUGAAGGUGGUUUCAUUAGGCCAACUGUAUUGCUACAGCCUGGCUUUUGGCCAGUAAUAAAAAGGGCUUUGGCAUGUAUUUCACUCCUUCCCAAUAUACACAUGCAUGCACACACACACAUACACAUGCACAUGCAACUUGAAAAUGAUCUGAAUGUAAGACAAGUUUUGAAAUUUAUUCAAUACACCACAUGAAAGACUAAUUACACAUUUUAAAGUAAAAUCUCCUAGGUGUAAUUUGAGUUCAUCCUUCUCCUGAGCAUGUCUCUUUUCAAGUACAGGCGGUCAGCACAGAACUCAGACACUUGACUUGACUUCAAAUGAUGUCACCUUCUUGGCCCGGUACCUCUGACUGUUUUCCUGACGGCAGCUCAAACAAAUGUCAGGCAGAUCUAAAAUCAGAAAAGGGGAAAAUGGUUGUGUGGAAUCAACUGCAUCAACCUAGAUUUAUUACAAAGCAACUCUGGGCAGAAUGCAGUAAAGGCUGAAGAAUCUGAAAAAGCUCAAGAUACUUCCAAAGUUACAGUGUUUAUUUGAAUUCUUAAUUCAAUUCACUAAUCCAGUUUCCAUGUUUACAGUUUAUGUUCUUGGCUAACUUGAUAGACAAAAUGGUAUCUCAUUGUUUUUAGGUGGCAUUUCUUUGAUUACUGGUGAAGAUAAGCAUUUUAAAAUACAUUGUAUUGUUAUUUGUAUUUAUUUUGUGUUAAUUGUCUAUUUGUGUAUUUUGCCCAUUGUCUUUUGAGAUAUGAGUGUUUUCCUUAUUAGAAUGUAACAUUACUUCAUAUAUUAAGGAUGUUGACCUUUUGUUUGCUAUAUCCAUCAUAUUUUUUUUUGGUUUGACAUUUAUCUUUUAGUUUUGUUUAUGAUUUUGCUGACUUCCAAAUGUUUGCAUUUUAAUGCAGAAAUAUCUAUCAAUCUUCUCCUUUGGAAUAUAAUCUAUUGCUUUUUUUGUGCAUAGUAAAGCCUUCACCACUCUGAAAUCAGAUAAAUGUUUAUCAAUAUUUUCUUUCAGUUUUUGACUUUUUUUUCAAUUGCUUAUUUCCUUUCCUCCAUAGUAAGACCCUUGGAUUCCAACUAUAGAUAAUAAUAGGAAGUAUCAUAAUUAUUUAUUUGCUUUAUUCAAAAAUACAUAUACAAUACUCCUGAAAUACAAAUAUUAAUACUAUCAGUCCCCAUAUGAUUAUUGAAAACAGUCUGAAAUAUUUUUGAAUAUGCCCUCUUCAUUAUCUCUCAGUUUUUAAAUAGUUAUUAUCUAUAUUGACAUAGUGUAAAGCUGUUACAUACUCUACUUUCUCUCUCUCUUUCAAUUUUUAUUUUAGAUUCAGGGGGUACAUGGGCAGGUUUGUUACCUAGGUAUUUUGUGUGAUGCUGAGGUUUGGAGUAUGAAUGAUCUCAUCACCCAGGUACUGAGCAUAGUAUCCAACAGUUAGUUUUUCAAUCCUUGUCCCCCUCUCUCCCUUCCCCUGAGUAGUCCCCCGUGUCUAUUGUUGCCAUCUUUAUAGCCAUCAGUAUCCAAUGUUUAGCUCCCCAGUUUUUGACUUUUGGAAUUUAACCCUUUAAUCUUUCCACAUUGCAUUUUGGACUAUAGCAUGAGAGAAAAUCUAAAUAAAUAAUUUUCCC